ACUCAAUAGAUACCCUGGUAGUCCCAGCAGUAAACGGUGCGCGUUUGGUGUGAGCAGGUUCGACCCUCGUUCGCGCCGGAGCUAAACGCGUUAAACGCGCCGCCUGGGAAGUACGAUCGCAAGAUUAAAACUCAAAGAAAUUGACGGGGGCCCGCACAAGCGGUGGAGUAUGUGGCUUAAUUCGAUGCAACGCGAAGAACCUUACCUGGGUUUGACAUGCAUCUCUAAGGCGGUGAAAGCUGCCGAGGGUAGCAAUACCCAAUUUGCACAGGUGCUGCAUGGCUGUCGUCAGCUCGUGUCGUGAGAUGUUGGGUUUAAGUCCCGCAACGAGCGCAACCCUUGUAUGCUGUUGCCAUGAUUACUCAUGGCUCUCUGCGUAGACUGCCCCGUGAAACGGGGAGGAAGGUGGGGAUGACGUCAAGUCAGCAUGGCCCUUACACCCAGGGCUGCACACGUACUACAAUGCCCAGUACAAUUCGAACCCGUCCCGCGAGGGCUGGGAAAU
Molecule: ribosomal RNA, 505 nt
Filed under: uncultured bacterium
Lineage: Bacteria
Description: bacterial SSU rRNA
Rfam family: Bacterial small subunit ribosomal RNA
Source: RNAcentral